UGGUGGAGUGAUUUGUCUGGUUAAUUCCGUUAACGAACGAGACCCCUGCCUGCUAAAUAGUCAAAUGAGUGAUUUUUCACUGAUUAUGGCCUCUUAGAGGGACGUGCAUUUUAUUAGAUGCAGGAGGAUAGGGGCAAUAACA
Molecule: ribosomal RNA, 142 nt
Filed under: uncultured eukaryote
Lineage: Eukaryota
Description: partial 18S ribosomal RNA
Rfam family: Eukaryotic small subunit ribosomal RNA
Source: RNAcentral